Molecule: unclassified non-coding RNA, 265 nt
Filed under: plant metagenome
Description: partial contains small subunit ribosomal RNA, internal transcribed spacer 1, and 5.8S ribosomal RNA
Rfam family: Eukaryotic small subunit ribosomal RNA (bases 1-53)
Source: RNAcentral
GGAAGUAAAAGUCUAACAAGGUCUCCGUUGGUGAACCAGCGGAGGGAUCAUUACCGAGUUUACAACUCCCAAACCCAAUGUGAACCAUACCAAACUGUUGCCUCGGCGGGGUCACGCCCCGGGUGCGUCGCAGCCCCGGAACCAGGCGCCCGCCGGAGGGACCAACCAAACUCUUUCUGUAGUCCCCUCGCGGACGUUAUUUUUACAGCUCUGAGCAAAAAUUCAAAAUGAAUCAAAACUUUCAACAACGGAUCUCUUGGUUCUG